AGUGAACGCUGGCGGUAGGCCUAACACAUGCAAGUCGAACGGCAGCACAGUAAGAGCUUGCUCUUACGGGUGGCGAGUGGCGGACGGGUGAGGAAUACAUCGGAAUCUACUUUUUCGUGGGGGAUAACGUAGGGAAACUUACGCUAAUACCGCAUACGACCUACGGGUGAAAGCAGGGGAUCUUCGGACCUUGCGCGAUUGAAUGAGCCGAUGUCGGAUUAGCUAGUUGGCGGGGUAAAGGCCCACCAAGGCGACGAUCCGUAGCUGGUCUGAGAGGAUGAUCAGCCACACUGGAACUGAGUCACGGUCCAGACUCCUACGGGAGGCAGCAGUGGGGAAUAUUGGACAAUGGGCGCAAGCCUGAUCCAGCCAUACCGCGUGGGUGAAGAAGGCCUUCGGGUUGUAAAGCCCUUUUGUUGGGAAAGAAAAGCAGCAGGUUAAUACCCCGCUGUUCUGACGGUACCCAAGGAAUAAGCACCGGCUAACUUCGUG
This 492-nucleotide ribosomal RNA is filed under the name uncultured bacterium. Its description in RNAcentral is "partial 16S ribosomal RNA". It matches the Rfam family "Bacterial small subunit ribosomal RNA", at positions 29 to 507 of the family's 1533-position model. The record is from RNAcentral.